AUGAUUACCACUGGAGGUAGAGCACUGGAUAAGCUAGGGGGUCCAACAGACUUACCAAACUUAACCAAACUCCGAAUGCCAGUGAGUACAGUAUAGCAGACAGACCAUGGGUGCUAAGGUCCGUGGUCGAGAGGGAAAGAGCCCAGACCGCCAUCUAAGGUCCCAAAAUCAUGACUAAGUGUUAAAGGAUGUGAGAAAACCAAAACAACUAGGAUGUUGGCUUAGAAGCAGCCAUCAUUUAAAGAAAGCGUAAUAGCUCACUAGUCUAAUUAAGUUUUCUUGCGCCGACAAUGUAACGGGGCUAAAGUCAUGUACCGAAGAUGCGGAUUCAUAUGUAAACAUAUGAGUGGUAGCGGAGCGUUCCGUAAGCCUGUGAAGGCAUCCUGUAAGGGCUGCUGGAGGUAUCGGAAGUGAGAAUGCUGACAUAAGUAGCGAUAAAGAAUGUGAGAGACAUUCUCGCCGAAAGUCCAAGGGUUCCUGCGUAAAGCUAAUCUGCGCAGGGUUAGUCGGCCCCUAAGACGAGGCUGAAAGGCGUAGUCGAUGGGAAUCAGGUUAAUAUUCCUGAACCGAGAAGAAGUGACGAAGUUCAAAAAUUGUAUAUACUUAUUGGAUUGUGUAUGCUAGUUGCGAGCUUCCAGGAAAUAACUCUUCAAUUAAGACCGUACCCUAAACCGACACAGGUGGACAGGUAGAGUAUACCAAGGCGCUUGAGAGAACGAUGCUGAAGGAACUAGGCAAAUUGCAUCUGUAACUUCGGGAGAAAGAUGACCUAUAAUUGGGCAACCAGUUGUAGGUGGCACAAACCAGGGGGUAGCGACUGUUUAUUAAAAACACAGGGCUCUGCUAAGUCAAUAGACGAUGUAUAGGGUCUGACGCCUGCCCAGUGCUGGAAGAUUAAAAGGAGGGGUGCAAGCUCUGAAUUGAAGUCCCAGUGAACGGCGGCCGUAACUAUGACGGUCCUAAGGUAGCGAAAUUCCUUGUCGGGUAAGUUCCGACCCGCACGAAUGGCGUAACGACUUCCCCACUGUCUCCAGUAUCGACUCAGCGAAAUUGAAUUCUCAGUUAAGAUGCUGAGUUCCCGCGGUUAGACGGAAAGACCCCGUGCACCUUUACUAUAGCUUUGCACUGGUAUUAGGGAUUAAAUGUGCAGAAUAGGUAGUAGACUAUGAAGCAGAGGCGCCAGCCUUUGUGGAGUCGAAAUGUGAGAUACUACCCUUUUAAUUCUUGAUAUCUAACCAUGAAUCCUUGAAUCAGGAUUUGGGACAAUGCAUGGUGGGUAGUUUGACUGGGGCGGUCGCCUCCCAAACAGUAACGGAGGCGCGCGAUGGUUAGCUCAGGUUGGUCAGAAAUCAACUGUUAGAGUGCAAUGGCAUAAGCUAGCCUGACUGCGAGACCCACAAGUCGAGCAGAGACGAAAGUCGGUCAUAGUGAUCCGGUGGUCCCGUGUGGAAGGGCCAUCGCUCAACGGAUAAAAGGUACGCCGGGGAUAACAGGCUGAUGAUUUCCAAGAGUCCAUAUCGACGAAAUCGUUUGGCACCUCGAUGUCGGCUCAUCACAUCCUGGGGCUGGAGAAGGUCCCAAGGGUACGGCUGUUCGCCGUUUAAAGUGGUACGUGAGCUGGGUUUAGAACGUCGUGAGACAGUUCGGUCCCUAUCUACCGUGGGUGUAGGAAGUUUGAGAGGAUCUGCCUUUAGUACGAGAGGACCGAGGUGGACGUACCUCUGGUGUACCAGUUGUCGCGCCAGCGGCAUAGCUGGGUAGCUAAGUACGGACGGGAUAACCGCUGAAUGCAUCUAAGCGGGAAACCCACCUUAAAACUAGACUUCCCUAUCAGAGCCGUGGAAGACCACCACGUUGAUAGGCCAGGUGUGGAAGCAUGGCAACAUGUGAAGCUAACUGGUACUAAUAGCUCGAUUGUUUUAUUUUG
RNAcentral lists this ribosomal RNA (1927 nucleotides) under Rickettsiales bacterium. RNAcentral's name for it is "partial 23S ribosomal RNA". It matches the Rfam family "Bacterial large subunit ribosomal RNA", at positions 886 to 2925 of the family's 2925-position model. The record is from RNAcentral. Lineage: Bacteria; Pseudomonadati; Pseudomonadota; Alphaproteobacteria; Rickettsiales.